This 199-nucleotide long non-coding RNA is filed under the name Elaeis guineensis (African oil palm). RNAcentral describes it as "long non-coding RNA (EGUI_LNC028708)". The record is from RNAcentral. Lineage: Eukaryota; Viridiplantae; Streptophyta; Magnoliopsida; Arecales; Arecaceae.
UUAGCACAGAAAUAUGUUGCGGAGCAAAGCUAUGAUAUAAUUAAGAAGGAUAAUGCCUUCUAGAAUAUAAUUAGUAGUCACAUGUAGUUUAGGAUGUUAUGUUUCUUAAUAGAUUAGAACUCUACAAUACAAGUUUUUGUCGUACUUUUUAUUAUGAUAUAGAAGGAAGAUAUCAUUAGUUCCAUAUUGAUGAUGAGUC